This 276-nucleotide ribosomal RNA is filed under the name uncultured prokaryote. RNAcentral describes it as "partial 16S ribosomal RNA". It matches the Rfam family "Bacterial small subunit ribosomal RNA", at positions 524 to 800 of the family's 1533-position model. The record is from RNAcentral.
UACGUAGGGGGCUAGCGUUAUCCGGAAUUACUGGGCGUAAAGGGUGCGUAGGUGGUUUCUUAAGUCAGAGGUGAAAGGCUACGGCUCAACCGUAGUAAGCCUUUGGAACUGGGAAACUUGAGUGCAGGAGAGGAGAGUGGAAUUCCUAGUGUAGCGGUGAAAUGCGUAGAUAUUAGGAGGAACACCAGUUGCGAAGGCGGCUCUCUGGACUGUAACUGACACUGAGGCACGAAAGCGUGGAGAGCAAACAGGAUUAGAUACCCUGGUAGUCCCUGA